AUUGAACGCUGGCGGCAGGCUUAACACAUGCAAGUCGAGCGGGGGAAGGUAGCUUGCUACCGGACCUAGCGGCGGACGGGUGAGUAAUGCUUAGGAAUCUGCCUAUUAGUGGGGGACAACAUCUCGAAAGGGAUGCUAAUACCGCAUACGUCCUACGGGAGAAAGCAGGGGAUCUUCGGACCUUGCGCUAAUAGGUGAGCCUAAGUCGGAUUAGCUAGUUGGUGGGGUAAAGGCCUACCAAGGCGACGAUCUGUAGCGGGUCUGAGAGGAUGAUCCGCCACACUGGGACUGAGACACGGCCCAGACUCCUACGGGAGGCAGCAGUGGGGAAUAUUGGGCAAUGGGGGGAACCCUGAUCCAGCCAUGCCGCGUGUGUGAAGAAGGCCUUAUGGUUGUAAAGCACUUUAAGCGAGGAGGAGGCUACUCUAGUUAAUACCUAGGGAUAGUGGACGUUACUCGCAGAAUAAGCACCGGCUAACUCUGUGCCAGCCGCCGCUGUAA
Molecule: ribosomal RNA, 501 nt
Filed under: uncultured bacterium
Lineage: Bacteria
Description: partial 16S ribosomal RNA
Rfam family: Bacterial small subunit ribosomal RNA
Source: RNAcentral